UACGUAGGGGGCAAGCGUUGUCCGGAUUUAUUGGGCGUAAAGAGCUCGUAGGCGGUUCCGUAAGUCGUGAAGUCAAAUCUCUGGGCUCAACCCAGAAUCGCUUCCGAUACUGCGGUGACUGGAGUCCGGUAGGGGAGUGUGGAAUUCCUGGUGUAGCGGUGAAAUGCGCAGAUAUCAGGAGGAACACCAACAGCGAAGGCAGCACCCUGGGCCGGUACUGACGCUGAGGAGCGAAAGCAUGGGGAGCGAACAGG
RNAcentral lists this ribosomal RNA (254 nucleotides) under uncultured bacterium. RNAcentral's name for it is "partial 16S ribosomal RNA". It matches the Rfam family "Bacterial small subunit ribosomal RNA", at positions 524 to 776 of the family's 1533-position model. The record is from RNAcentral.